This 1171-nucleotide ribosomal RNA is filed under the name uncultured fungus. Its description in RNAcentral is "eukaryotic LSU rRNA". The stretch from base 460 to 1171 matches the Rfam family "Eukaryotic large subunit ribosomal RNA", at positions 1 to 649 of the family's 3401-position model. The record is from RNAcentral. Lineage: Eukaryota; Fungi.
AAGUCGUAACAAGGUUUCCGUAGGUGAACCUGCGGAAGGAUCAUUACAAAUCUUUUGCGAGUGCUGCGUGCGUAACUGUGCGUAGUAUCUCACAACAUUAGCACAAGGUCGCAAGGCCUUGAUGUUUACGCUUGUUUGUUUGACAGAGUUAGUUGAGACAAAAAAAGACAACUUUUAACAAUGGAUCUCUUGGCUCUUGCAACGAUGAAGAACGCAGUAAAGUGCGAUAUGUAGUGCGAUUUGCAUGAAUCUGUGAGUCAUCUAAUCUUUGAACGCAACUUGCGCCUUUUACGAGGCAUGUCUGUUUGAGUGCCGUAAUCCUCUGCAGCAAUGCGAUUUGACUCUUGUCUUUGUUGACCGAGUUUAAAGGAAGCUAGAGGAUGGUCAGUUUAGACUAGCCCGAGUGCUAAGCAUUCUUGGGUCUAGCGCUGGAUUGCUCAUUAUAUCUAUUUUAUAUUUUGGCCUCAAAUCAGGCAAGACUACCCGCUGAACUUAAGCAUAUCAGUAAGCGGAGGAAAAGAAACUAACAAGGAUUCCCCUAGUAGCGGCGAGUGAAGCGGGAAUAGCUCAAAUUUAAAAUCUCGACGUUCUGCGUCGCGAAUUGUAGUCUAAAGAGGGUGAUCUAGGGUCAGUGGUGUGCUCAAGUCCCUUGGAAUAGGGCGCCAGAGAGGGUGAGAGCCCCGUAAUAGCAUGUUGCUGGCCUCAAGUGAGAGCCUCUCAACGAGUCGAGUUGUUUGGGAAUGCAGCUCAAAGUGGGUGGUAAAUCUCAUCUAAGGCUAAAUAUUGGCAAGGGACCGAUAGCGAACAAGUACCGUGAGGGAAAGAUGAAAAGCACCUUGAAAAGGGAGUUAAAUAGUGCGUGAAAUUGUUAAAAGGGAAACGAUAGAGACUAGUAUUGGGCGUAGGCUAAGCUGGUGUUUCGGCAUUAGUGGUGCUUGCGCUUCGAGUCAAUGUCAGUUGUUUUUGCCGGAUACGGUUUGGAGAAAGGUGGGGUUGACUUCGGUCUUCCUUUUAUAGUCUCUGAUGCCUGCGGCCGAGGCGACUGGAAGUCUUGGGACGCUAGGCUACUCGGGGGUAGUAGGUGGCAGACAGCAUGCUGACUGUUGCCUUUUUUAUUCUCUACUAACCGACGCUUACCUGGACGCCUUUGACGAGAUGGUCUUUAACGACC